AAGUCGUAACAAGGUUUCCGUAGGUGAACCUGCGGAAGGAUCAUUCAUAAUAAGUGUUUUAUGGCACUUUUUAAAUCCAUAUCCACCUUGUGUGCAAUGUCAGUCGAUUUUCUUUAUGGAGAUCGGCCAAACAUCAACCUAAUUUUUUAACUCUUUGUCUGAAAAAUAUUAUGAAUAAAAUAAUUCAAAAUACAACUUUCAACAACGGAUCUCUUGGCUCUCGCAUCGAUGAAGAACGCAGCGAAAUGCGAUACGUAAUGUGAAUUGCAGAAUUCAGUGAAUCAUCGAGUCUUUGAACGCACAUUGCGCCCAUUGGUAUUCCUUUGGGCAUGUCUGUUUGAGCGUCAUUACAACCCUCAGCCAACCGCUGGUUCUGAACCGGGACAGGGUCACACCCGCACCGGUUUUAAAGUUGUAAGCUCUGCUGGUCGCCCCGCCCAACCGGAACAUAGUAAGCAACUACUCUUGUUCGGAGGUAAGCGGGGAGCGGUACGGCCUGAACAAAACCUACCCAUCUCUAAGGUUUGACCUCAGAUCAGACAAGGAUACCCGCUGAACUUAA
This 562-nucleotide ribosomal RNA is filed under the name uncultured fungus. RNAcentral's name for it is "eukaryotic LSU rRNA". The stretch from base 194 to 347 matches the Rfam family "5.8S ribosomal RNA". Lineage: Eukaryota; Fungi. The record is from RNAcentral.